This 817-nucleotide ribosomal RNA is filed under the name uncultured Bacteroidota bacterium. RNAcentral's name for it is "bacterial SSU rRNA". It matches the Rfam family "Bacterial small subunit ribosomal RNA", at positions 31 to 840 of the family's 1533-position model. Lineage: Bacteria; Pseudomonadati; Bacteroidota. The record is from RNAcentral.
GAACGCUAGCUACAGGCUAACACAUGCAAGUCGAGGGGAAACGGCGUUGAGUGCUUGCACUCUUCGGACGUCGACCGGCGCACGGGUGAGUAACGCGUAUCCAACCUUCCCAUAACUAAGGGAUAACCUACCGAAAGGCAGACUAAUACCUUAUGUAAUUCUUAGAUGACAUCAGAAGAGAAUGAAAGAUUUAUCGGUUAUGGAUGGGGAUGCGUCUGAUUAGCUUGUUGGCGGGGUAACAGCCCACCAAGGCAACGAUCAGUAGGGGUUCUGAGAGGAAGGUCCCCCACAUUGGAACUGAGACACGGUCCAAACUCCUACGGGAGGCAGCAGUGAGGAAUAUUGGUCAAUGGGCGAGAGCCUGAACCAGCCAAGUAGCGUGCAGGAUGACGGCCCUAUGGGUUGUAAACUGCUUUUGUAUGGGGAUAAAGUCAAUCACGUGUGAUUGUUUGCAGGUACCAUACGAAUAAGGACCGGCUAAUUCCGUGCCAGCAGCCGCGGUAAUACGGAAGGUUCGGGCGUUAUCCGGAUUUAUUGGGUUUAAAGGGAGCGUAGGCCGGAGAUUAAGUGUGUUGUGAAAUGUAGACGCUCAACGUCUGACUUGCAGCGCAUACUGGUUUCCUUGAGUACGCACAACGUUGGCGGAAUUCGUCGUGUAGCGGUGAAAUGCUUAGAUAUGACGAAGAACUCCGAUUGCGAAGGCAGCUGACGGGAGCGCCACUGACGCUUAAGCUCGAAGGUGCGGGUAUCGAACAGGAUUAGAUACCCUGGUAGUCCGCACAGUAAACGAUGGAUGCCCGCUGUUGGUACCUAGUAU